GAUGAAGAACGCAGCGAAAUGCGAUAAGUAAUGCGAAUUGCAGAAUUCAGUGAGUCAUCGAAUCUUUGAACGCACAUUGCGCCCUGUGGUAUUCCGCAGGGCAUGCCUGUUCGAGCGUCAUUUCAACCCUCAAGCCCCGCUUGGUGUUGGGCCCCGCCCGCUGUGGCCGGCCCUAAAGACAGUGGCGGCGCCGCCUGGCCCUCAGCGUAGUACAUCUCUCGCUCCAGGGUCCGGUGGCCGCCUGCCAGAACCCCCCCACUCUGUGGUUGACCUCGGAUCAGGUAGGGAUACCCGCUGAACUUAAGCAUAUCAAUAAGCGGAGGA
RNAcentral lists this unclassified non-coding RNA (324 nucleotides) under soil metagenome. RNAcentral's name for it is "partial contains 5.8S ribosomal RNA, internal transcribed spacer 2, and large subunit ribosomal RNA". The stretch from base 1 to 120 matches the Rfam family "5.8S ribosomal RNA", at positions 35 to 154 of the family's 154-position model. The record is from RNAcentral.